Molecule: transfer RNA, 73 nt
Filed under: Dictyocaulus viviparus (bovine lungworm)
Lineage: Eukaryota; Metazoa; Nematoda; Chromadorea; Rhabditida; Metastrongylidae
Rfam family: tRNA
About the family: Transfer RNA (tRNA) molecules are approximately 80 nucleotides in length. Their secondary structure includes four short double-helical elements and three loops (D, anti-codon, and T loops).
Source: Rfam by way of RNAcentral
GCCUCGGUAGUGUAAUGGAUCACCAAGGCAGACCGUAUUUCUGUAAAUAUGGGUUCGAGUCCCGCCUGAGGUU